Molecule: ribosomal RNA, 260 nt
Filed under: Tinodes waeneri
Lineage: Eukaryota; Metazoa; Arthropoda; Insecta; Trichoptera; Psychomyiidae
Description: partial 28S large subunit ribosomal RNA
Rfam family: Eukaryotic large subunit ribosomal RNA
Source: RNAcentral
ACCCCGUCUUGAAACACGGACCAAGGAGUCUAGCAUGUGCGCGAGUCAUUGGGAACUAAUAAACCCAGAGGCGCAAUGAAAGUGAACAGCGCCGAUUUCGGUCGGCCGCAGGGAAGAUGGCCCACGGCAAGCCCGCGGGCCCGCAUUCCCGAGGCGUUUCGAGAAAUGCCAUCGUUGCGAUUAUCGAGACGCACUGAGAGCGCACACGCUGGGACCCGAAAGAUGGUGAACUAUGCCUGGUCAGGUCGAAGUCAGGGGAA